CCGGCUAGUCACCGCACAAACCUUAAAACCGAGAGUAAACCUACGUCUUGCCCUAAACUCAUCGCAUUGGUCUCAGACAUCUCAAAGACAUGAUAUCUAAACGAUAUGAGAUCCUAAAACAUGUCUCUUCGUUCAUAUCUCAACGUUCCUGAAUGAUCGUAAAUAAUUUUUACGAAAACUCACGUCUUGAACAAACUAACAGAUUGAAUGCCUCAACGAAGUUAAAUAUGAGACGACAAGUCAUGUUUACUUCAAACCCACU
Molecule: long non-coding RNA, 262 nt
Filed under: Brassica napus (rape)
Lineage: Eukaryota; Viridiplantae; Streptophyta; Magnoliopsida; Brassicales; Brassicaceae
Description: long non-coding RNA (BNAP_LNC015122)
Source: RNAcentral